GGUGGAUUAGUGGCGAACGGGUGAGUAACACGUGAGUAACCUGCCCUUGACUCUGGGAUAAGCGUUGGAAACGACGUCUAAUACCGGAUACGAGCUUCCACCGCAUGGUGAGUUGCUGGAAAGAAUUUUGGUCAAGGAUGGACUCGCGGCCUAUCAGCUUGUUGGUGAGGUAAUGGCUCACCAAGGCGACGACGGGUAGCCGGCCUGAGAGGGUGACCGGCCACACUGGGACUGAGACACGGCCCAGACUCCUACGGGAGGCAGCAGUGGGGAAUAUUGCACAAUGGGCGAAAGCCUGAUGCAGCAACGCCGCGUGAGGGACGACGGCCUUCGGGUUGUAAACCUCUUUUAGCAGGGAAGAAGCGAAAGUGACGGUACCUGCAGAAAAAGCACCGGCUAACUACGUGCCAGCAGCCGCGGUAAUACGUAGGGUGCAAGCGUUGUCCGGAAUUAUUGGGCGUAAAGAGCUCGUAGGCGGUUUGUCGCGUCUGCUGUGAAAUCCCGAGGCUCAACCUCGGGUCUGCAGUGGGUACGGGCAGACUAGAGUGCGGUAGGGGAGAUUGGAAUUCCUGGUGUAGCGGUGGAAUGCGCAGAUAUCAGGAGGAACACCGAUGGCGAAGGCAGAUCUCUGGGCCGCUACUGACGCUGAGGAGCGAAAGGGUGGGGAGCAAACAGGCUUAGAUACCCUGGUAGUCCACCCCGUAAACGUUGGGCGCUAGAUGUGGGGACCAUUCCACGGUUUCCGUGUCGUAGCUAACGCAUUAAGCGCCCCGCCUGGGGAGUACGGCCGCAAGGCUAAAACUCAAAGGAAUUGACGGGGGCCCGCACAAGCGGCGGAGCAUGCGGAUUAAUUCGAUGCAACGCGAAGAACCUUACCAAGGCUUGACAUAUACGAGAACGGGCCAGAAAUGGUCAACUCUUUGGACACUCGUAAACAGGUGGUGCAUGGUUGUCGUCAGCUCGUGUCGUGAGAUGUUGGGUUAAGUCCCGCAACGAGCGCAACCCUCGUUCUAUGUUGCCAGCACGUAAUGGUGGGAACUCAUGGGAUACUGCCGGGGUCAACUCGGAGGAAGGUGGGGACGACGUCAAAUCAUCAUGCCCCUUAUGUCUUGGGCUUCACGCAUCUACAAUGGCCAGUACAAAGGGCUGCAAUACCGUAAGGUGGAGCGAAUCCCAAAAAGCUGGUCCCAGUUCGGAUUGAGGUCUGCAACUCGACCUCAUGAAGUCGGAGUCGCUAGUAAUCGCAGAUCAGCAACGCUGCGGUGAAUACGUUCCCGGGCCUUGUACACACCGCC
RNAcentral lists this ribosomal RNA (1295 nucleotides) under Plantibacter flavus. Its description in RNAcentral is "bacterial SSU rRNA". It matches the Rfam family "Bacterial small subunit ribosomal RNA", at positions 86 to 1394 of the family's 1533-position model. The record is from RNAcentral. Lineage: Bacteria; Bacillati; Actinomycetota; Actinomycetes; Micrococcales; Microbacteriaceae.